UACGAAGGGGGCUAGCGUUGCUCGGAAUUACUGGGCGUAAAGCGCGUUCAGGCGGUUUGGCAAGUCGGGCAUGAAAUCUCUCGGCUCAACCGGGAGAGGUUGUCCGAUACUGCUGGACUUGAGGGCAGUAGAGGGUGGUGGAAUUCCGGGUGUAGUGGUGAAAUGCGUAGAUAUCCGGAGGAACACCAGUGGCGAAAGCGGCCACCUGGACUGCACCUGACGCUGACACGCGAAAGCUAGGGGAGCGAACGGG
Molecule: ribosomal RNA, 253 nt
Filed under: uncultured bacterium
Lineage: Bacteria
Description: partial 16S ribosomal RNA
Rfam family: Bacterial small subunit ribosomal RNA
Source: RNAcentral